Long non-coding RNA from Schistocerca piceifrons (Central American locust), 2187 nucleotides. RefSeq lists it as uncharacterized. The transcript has 2 exons. Lineage: Eukaryota; Metazoa; Arthropoda; Insecta; Orthoptera; Acrididae. The record is from RefSeq and is a predicted model, not a curated record.
AGCAAAUCAGUGGGUUUCACGAUAUACGAAGGGCAAAUAUAUGUGCAGACCAUGAUGUGUUGGUAGUCUGGUCAGAGGCAUAUGCAAAAUUUGGAGGCAGGUAGCCGCAUCUCUCUUCACUCAGAGCUCAGUUUCAGAUGCAGUUCCCUCCGUGUCUAAGUAUCUACAUUACCUGGGAGAGAACAUCCUGCAGACAUAGAUUGUAGGGAAUGCCUGAGUAGGCAUACUCUGUUUAAAACAGCGAUAACUUGAAGCAUAAGUAUUCAAAGUGAUUGUCAGUAUCUGAACUCGAGUUGCCAGUGUGAUCUGAGAGGGAUUAUAGAUAAUGUUUUGCGUUACUUGUUCUGGUAAUGAAAAUUCUAUUUGUCUUGUGAAACACAUACAAUCCCACAAAAUCUUAUGCCUUGUAGUAAUUAGUAAUGAUUUCGUUAUAUGUGGUUGUAGAUGUAGUAGAUGCAUUAAGACUGAUUAGAUGUAUAUCUAGAUGUGUUGAGGUUGAUUAGGUGCAAGGAAGAGAGUGGGAUUUACAGAUAUUCCAGUUAAAAAUUUGACAAUUUGUAUAUUAUGUUAGCUGAAGUGUAGGCCUAAUACUUGAGGAUAUACUAUUUAAAAAGUUUAGCUGUACAACUGGUUGUAAUAUUGAAGAAAAUAUCUUUCUUGGAAGUACUUUAGUGCAAUAAAUUUCAUUGCAACUGCAGGUAAAUAAGUUUGUGUAAAACUUCUUGCAGGUAAGACUGGCGCACUGAACUGCUGCAGAAACAAAGCGAUGUAUAGAUGUCAGAUGAUAAUCUUGUGUUCAUCAUCAAAAUGAAAGUUGUAACACACUCAGGAAAUGAGCACAGAAGAGCAGAUGUAGGAAUCAAGUGUCACUGCACUCGGUGAGGUUGUAAUGGAGUUGGUUUGCGGUAGGAUGAAACCCAGUGCUGGUCCAUGGGCCUACUGUUCUCAAAAAGUACGUUGCGGCUGCUGAGCUUAACUCUAAAUCUGAAGAACAGAAAGUGUCACAUGCCUUCACAUCAUGAGACAGUGAAAGAAGGUACAAAUGUAAUCCAGGACAUUAGCGCAAAAUGUGAUCACGAACUUUACGCCAUCACCUCUCAUCCCUUUGUCACCCAAAUACUGGCAUUGAAAAUUUUCCACCACCAGGAUGACUUGCAUCCAAGUUGAGAGCCACCACACAGAACUUUGUUAGCAACCUUGGUUAUGGAGAUGGGGCCAUCUCACCACAAUCGUAGAAAUUUCAAAGCAAUAGGCCUACUGCUGUGUUAACAUUGCCAAGUUCUGUAAACAUUCUCCUGUUUGUUUUUACCCCAAAUGUCAUAUAAGAGUGGGAUCCAACACACUCUCUACAUCAUUUGUCCACUAAAUUCAAAUGGUCGGUGGAGGAAAGAUGUUUGUUUAUGUUCAUCCAUAAAUAAACAUUUAUUUGCACUCAAUGUCAUCAAGAUUAAAGCUGAUAACUGAAGAUCUAGCUGAAGCCUCUUCAGGCUUCUUAUACUUAAAUGCCAAUACAUAUAUUCCCUAACGGUAUUUGUGGACAACAGAAACUUUAAUGAACUCGGCAAUUCACAACCACAGUACUACAGGUAGAAAUAAUUUACUUCUCCUGGUUUAAAAGGGAGUUUUAUAUUCUGGUGCAAAAGAUUGUAACAGGUGGACUGUAGAAAAGAAACUAAACAUUCCCACCCAUCCAUAUAAACGGCAAGUUGACAUAUCCUGAGCAUGUGAAUUUGUUGAAAACAAGUGACCAGUCAGUGUGUAAAAAAGAGUCGAGCUAAGACACUAAAAGUAAGUUGUCAGUCAGUGUGUGAAAAUAAUCAAGCUGUAUACGGAAAAAAAGAGGAAGUAUCCAGUCAACGUGUGAAAGCAAACAAGCUACUGCAUGUUUGUUUUGCUUCACAAUUGCUAAAUAUGUAUGGGAAUUGGACAUGCAUCCUAAUCUCCUUCUCCCUUACAUCUCUGUUUCCUCCUGUCGCCUACCAUCUCCUUCCCCCUCUCUCUGUCCAUCUCCUCCUCUGCCCUCUCUAUAUCCAUUUCUUCCCUCCCUGCCAAUGGCCACCUCUUCUCUCCCCCUUCUCUCUCUGAGCUUGAGCCUUGCUUGUUAUUACAAUUUUAGUUUCCAUAGUAGUAUUCUAAUCAUAAACCAUAAAUACAAUGUUCCUGUUUCCUGUGAAAACAGAUUGCAAG